UAAGAAAAAGAAUCACUACUAUUAUCAUUACAUGUAUGAUACUCAAUCUGGUUGGAAUAAUCACAUUAAUAGUUGCAUUGAUAGUUAUCUUCGUUUUGAAGUCAGUAUUAAUAGUUCUAUUUCGGGUAGUACCAACAAUUACAGUGACAGUUACUUUUAUAACUUCAUUUGUACUGAAAAUAGAAAUAGUAGUGAGAGCGGUAGGUCUAGUAAAAGAACUAGAAAAAAUUUCAAUGAUUUCCAUGAAGAGGUGGAAUCCGAUUUCCAUGAAGAAGUAGAAUUCCACGAAGAAGUAGAAUCCGACUUCCAUGAAGAAGUAGAAUCCGAUUUCCAUGAAGAAGUAGAAUUCCACGAAGAAGUAGAAUCCAAUGAUUUCAAUGAAGAAGUAGAAUCUGAUUUCAAUGAAGAAGUGGAAUCCGAUUUCAAUGAAGAAGUGGAAUCCGAUUUCAAUGAAGAAGUGGAAUCCGAUUUCAAUGAAGAAGUGGAAUCCGAUUUCAAUGAAGAAGUAGAAUUCCAUGAAGAAGUAGAAUUCCAUGAAGAAGUAGAAUCCGACUUCCAUGAAGAAGUAGAAUCCAAUGAUUUCAAUAUAAAUCAAAAAUACAAACAUUUAUGGGUUCAAUGCGAAAAUUGUUAUGGAUUAAAUUAUAAAAAAUUUUUUAAGUCAAAAAUGAAUAUUUGUGAACAGUGUGGAUAUCAUUUGAAAUGAGUAGUUCAGAUAGAAUUGAACUUUCGAUUGAUCCCGGAACUUGGGAUCCUCUGGAUAAAGAUAUGAUAUCUAUAGACCCCAUUGAUUUUCGUUCAAAAGAGGAACCUUAUGGAGAUCGUAUCGAUUCUUAUCAAAGAAGGACAGGUUUAGCUGAUGCUAUUCAAACAGGCAUAGGUCAAAUAAAUGGUAUUCCCGUAGCAAUUGGCGUUAUGGAUUUUCAGUUUAUGGGAGGUAGUAUGGGAUCCGUAGUAGGCGAGAAAAUUACUCGUUUGAUCGAGUAUGCUACUAAUCGAUCUCUACCUGUCAUUAUUGUGUGUGCUUCUGGAGGAGCACGCAUGCAAGAAGGAAGUUUGAGCUUGAUGCAAAUGGCUAAAAUAUCUUCUGCUUCAUCUAAUUAUCAAUCAGAUAAAAAGUUAUUCUAUGUAUCAAUUCUUACAUCUCCUACAACUGGUGGAGUAACAGCCAGUUUUGGUAUGUUGGGGGAUAUCAUUAUUGCUGAACCUAACGCCUACAUUGCAUUUGCGGGUAAAAGAGUAAUUGAACAAACAUUAAAAAAGGUAAUACCUGAAGGUUCACAAGUGUCUGAGUAUUUAUUCCAUAAAGGUUUAUUCGACCCAAUAGUACCACGUAAUCUUUUAAAAGGUGUUCUGGGUGAGUUAUUUCAGCUCCACGGUUUCUUUCCCUUGAAUCCAAGUUCAAAAAUGUAAAGUAUAGCACUAGAUUCAGUUAUUUUAUUUGUAGCGAACAAGUAUUUAAUUCGUCGUAAUCAGGUGUUUUCUUUGGUGACAUAAGUUCUCCUUGUAAUAAGAGACAGAGGUUUCGGAUAAUUUUUAUUUUAUAUUUUAUUAUAUUUUAUUUAUUAUAUUUUAGAAUAUAGAAUAUAUAGUUUUAGAAUAUAGAAUAUAUAGUUUCUAUCUAGUCAUUUUCUAUCUAAUCAUAUAGAAUUAUAGUUGAUAUUACUUAUUACUUAUAAAUAAAUAUUAUAAAUAAAUAAUAUUUAUUAUAAUUUUUUAUAAUAUAUUUAUAAUAUAAUAAUGGCUUGAUAUAAUAUAAUAAUGGCUUGAUAUUACUUAUAAUAGAUAUAUCAUAAGUAAUAGAUAUAUCAUAAGAAGAUAUCUUUCUAAUAGAUAGAAAUAUUAAAACAGAUAGAAAUAUUAAAUUGAGGCACCUAUUCUAUGACAGAUCCCAACUUACCCUCUAUUUUUGUGCCUUUAGUGGGCCUAGUAUUUCCGGCAAUUGCAAUGGUUUCCUUAUUUCUUCAUGUCCAAAAAAAUAAGAUUGUCUAGACCCAAUGGGACCGAAUCUUAUCAAUUUAUUUCAACACUGGAUGAUAAUACAGAUAUUUAUCUCGUGUAAUAUGGUAUGAUAUGUGGCUCUUUCCGAACACACAAAUGAAAGAAUCGUUAUGCGGAUAUAUGAUAUCUGCAUAAAUGCAUGUAUAUGUGAAUAUAGCUGGUUCAAAAUGGAUUAGUGAAUAUUUUAAAUAGAAAGUCAAUGUAUCUAACCAAUUACUCUCCUAAUGUUUCACAUCAGAAUAGUGCUAGUUGAUGAAAGUUACUUCGGGAUCAAGAAAGGUAAAGUCAAAUUUAUUUGGGUUAUUCGCUCAAUUCCAAUCGAAUGCACUGGAUCUAGUAUAGUAUGAAUUGGCGAUCAGAACAUAUAUGGAUAGAACUUAUAACGGGGUCUCGAAAAACGAGUAAUUUUUGCUGGGCCUGUAUCCUUUUUUUAGGUUCACUAGGAUUCUUAGUGGUUGGAACUUCCAGUUAUCUUGGUAGGAAUUUGAUACCCGUAUUUACAUCUCAGCAAAUCAUUUUUUUUCCACAAGGGAUCGUGAUGUCUUUCUACGGGAUCGCGGGUCUAUUCAUUAGCUCGUAUUUGUGGUGCACAAUUUCGUGGAAUGUAGGUAGCGGUUAUGACCGAUUCGAUAGAAAAGAAGGAAUAGUGUGUAUUUUUCGCUGGGGAUUUCCUGGAAUAAAUCGUCGCAUCUUCCUUCGCUUCUUUAUGAGAGAUAUCCAAUCAAUCAGAAUAGAGGUUAAAGAGGGUCUUUAUACUCGUCGUGUCCUUUAUAUGGAAAUCAGAGGCCAAGGAGCCAUUCCCUUGACUCGUACUGAUGAGAAUUUUACUCCACGAGAAAUUGAACAAAAAGCUGCCGAAUUGGCCUAUUUCUUGCGCGUACCAAUUGAAGUAUUUUGAAACGAACUGAAGUGAAGAAUAAAAUGAAGAAUAAAUAUUUUCUCAAGAUGGGGGAAGGAACUUGCUAAUUCCUCUUUUAAUACAACUGAAGUUUCUUCAUUCUUUUAUACUAGAAAAAGGUCUAAUCUAACUAACGAAUCUAAUCUAAUAAGUAUAGAUAUAAAUUCAUCAAACCUAUCCGAACAUGUAUUUCGUAAUACAGAAUUCAUCUUUUUAGGCCCAAGAUUUGGAAUUGAUACCCUUUUCUGGUUAGACGGUGAAACAUUUCGAAAGAAUUAAUUGAUCCAGGGGGAGUUUUUUCGUCUCGAAACUCGAUUCGUUACUUCAAGUGGGUUUUCGAGUAUUCAUCGAAAGGAACAAAUGAAAAUAAAAUUGGUUCAAAUUUGCCCAAUUGAGAUAUCUGGAAUAAUAUUUAUUUCUUUUUUUCUCAUUUUCAUCCGAAAAGAACUCUUAUUCUAUGUCUAUAUUCCUUCUAAAUCAAAAAAAAAAUAAAAUUAUUACACAAUAAUAGGAAAGGAAUAGACCCAUAGGUCAAUACCUUGUUAUACAACUCGUGCUUCAAAGAAAUAUCAGAUCAGAUAGAGUCAACGAAUGAAGCAGGUUCAUUAACAAUUCAAUUCACAGAAAAAAAAAAAUGAAAAAAAAGAAAGCA
Molecule: RNA transcript, 3551 nt
Organism: Musa acuminata AAA Group (dessert banana)
Lineage: Eukaryota; Viridiplantae; Streptophyta; Magnoliopsida; Zingiberales; Musaceae
Gene name: acetyl-coenzyme A carboxylase carboxyl transferase subunit beta, chloroplastic-like
Exons: 1
Source: RefSeq, a predicted model, not a curated record